Small nuclear RNA from Symphalangus syndactylus (siamang), 107 nucleotides. The record is from RefSeq and is a predicted model, not a curated record. NCBI's taxonomy places the organism in Eukaryota, Metazoa, Chordata, Mammalia, Primates, Hylobatidae.
GUGGUCACUUCAGAAGCACAUAUAUUAAAGUUGUAAUGAUACAGAGAAGAUUAGCAUGGUCCCUGCACAAGGAUGACAUGCACGUUUGUGAAGUUUUCAUAUUUUUC